Molecule: ribosomal RNA, 521 nt
Filed under: uncultured bacterium
Lineage: Bacteria
Description: bacterial SSU rRNA
Rfam family: Archaeal small subunit ribosomal RNA
Source: RNAcentral
AACCUCCGCAAUGUGAGAAAUCGCGACGGGGGGAUCCCAAGUGCCAUUCUUAACGGGAUGGCUUUUCUUAAGUGUAAAAGGCUUUUGGAAUAAGAGCUGGGCAAGACCGGUGCCAGCCGCCGCGGUAACACCGGCAGCUCUAGUGGUAGCAGUUUUUAUUGGGCCUAAAGUGUCCGUAGCCGGUUUAAUAAGUCUCUGGUGAAAUCCUGUAGCUUAACUGUGGGAAUUGCUGGAGAUACUAUUAGACUUGAGACCGGGAGAGGUUAGAGGUACUCCCAGGGUAGAGGUGAAAUUCUGUAAUCCUGGGAGGACCGCCUGUUGCGAAGGCGUCUAACUGGAACGGUUCUGACGGUGAGGGACGAAAGUUAGGGGCGCGGACCGGAUUAGAUACCCGGGUAGUCCUAACCGUAAACGAUGCGGACUUGGUGUUGGGGUGGCUUUGAGCUGCUCCAGUGCCGAAGGGAAGCUGUUAAGUCCGCCGCCUGGGAAGUACGGUCGCAAGACUGAAACUUAAAGGAAUU